Molecule: ribosomal RNA, 543 nt
Filed under: Triticum aestivum (bread wheat)
Lineage: Eukaryota; Viridiplantae; Streptophyta; Magnoliopsida; Poales; Poaceae
Description: partial small subunit ribosomal RNA
Source: RNAcentral
AUGGCCGAAUGCUUCAAUAGGGUGCUCAAAGGUGCACGUGCAUUACCCGUGACGGCAAUAGUUCAAUACACAUUUGACAAGAUGAAUGCGUACUUUCUAAAGUACUCAAUGGAAACAGAUGCACAGAUAGCGGGUGAGAACAAGCGCAAGUACAAGUACAAGUUCCCACCCAAGGUUGAUGAAUGGUUGGAAUUUCAAUCAUGGAAGGCGGACUCACAAGAAGCUAUACUAUAUGACAACAAAGAUUGGAAGUAUGAAGUGAGAGAGCCAGGAGGAACCACAAACAAUGGCCGCCAACAUGGAGGUCGGUCUUUCAAGGUCUCGUUAACACGGUGUGAUUGAUCUUGCGGGAGGCCAUUGUUGCUUCAUCUCCCAUGCUCACACUUGUAUACCGCCGGUCACAUUAGGGUGGACGUCAAUCACGCCCUCUCUGUGAGGGAGUCGGAGUUCUUAAUCAUGACGGUCAAUAAUACAUGGGCUCCCCACUUUCACCCAUACUUUGACCAAUCACAGUGGCCGGAGUACCAUGGACUUCAACUAUGA